AAAUAGCUUUCCACCAACCGCCAUUGUUCGUGGCAGUUUGUGGCGUCCUGAAGCUAGAUUUGGCUUGAAAAUGGCGUUCCCUAAAGAAAAUAAGAAUAGGAUAGGUUACGAUAUGAAGGGCAGCUUUAGUAAAUGGAAAAACGGAAAACAAGAACUUGAAAGUGCCGUGUAACCAUAAUUUGAAGAAAAUUGAGUCAAAAAAUCAAGAGCCUGAAGAAAAGCGAGGACCAAUUGACAUCGUUUCUCUUAAAAAUUCAAGAUCUCGAUAGUGCAAAGUUGGUUUGGACCACAAUAGUCCUACCCAAAAAAUUUACACCAGGAACCAUGCUUCCAAUUCUGAAAGAACUGCAAGAUCGUCUAGCAGCUAAGCUGUCAUAAUUCACAGGAAGAAAAUGAAACCCUAACUAGAACAGAAGUUAAAUAAAUUGAAGAAGAAAAAAUUAAAAGGGAAAAAUAAGAAGGUAGCCGGUGAAAUAGGACUGAAACCAAAUAGGACUGGAGAAAUAGGACUGAAAAUUUUCAGUCCUAUUUCUACCGGAGAAAUAGGACUGGGAGAAAUAGGACUGACUUUUAAAUACUUUUAGGACAGUCCUAUUUCUCCACGCCAUCGGUCCUAUUUCUCCUUGGCCUCAGUCCUAUUUCUCCUUAGAAAUAGUCCUAUUUCUUUUGUUUUGUUCCAAUAGGAACGAUAUGCCUCCAAUCCGGUAGGCAACAUAUUGCGUCAGAGCGUCGGCUUAUAUCCAUUUCCCUUUGCAAAAAACCGAUGGUGUUAACGCGUUACUUAAAUGGUUCACCAAACAUUUAUCUCUUAUCAUAUUUUAAUUUAAAUUGCAGAGUACCCUGAAACAUACUAUGUCUAAUAUAGUUCAUUUAGUAAAAUACUACAACGGCUACACCAGAAAUAUUUAUUACAUUUUUCUUACUUUUUAGUGCAUAAAAUGUUUUCCAGUUGAGUGCAACUGGGAAAGUUAAUUACCCUAAUAAAUUGAGACAAAAUUAAUAAACAAUUCUGUUUUAGUUUUAAUUGUAUUUUAUUCAAUGAACUGUAUUAAAUACAACAUAUUCCAUGUGCACCAGCGAUUAUAAUUAAAAUAUGAUAAGAGAUAAAUGUUUGGUGAACCAUUUAAGUAACGCGUUAACACCAUCGGUUUUUUGCAAAGGGAAAUGGAUAUAAGCCGACGCUCUGACGAAAUAUGUUGCCUACCGGAUUGGAGGCAUAUCGUUCCUAUUGGAACAAAAUAAAAGAAAUAGGACUAUUUCUAAGGAGAAAUAUGACUGAGGCCAAGGAGAAAUAGGACUGAGGCCAAGGAGAAAUAGGACCGAUGGCGUGGAGAAAUAGGACUGUCCUAAAAGUAUUUAAAAGUCAGUCCUAUUUCUCCCAGUCCUAUUUCUCCGGUAGAAAUAGGACUGAAAAUUUUCAGUCCUAUUUCUCCAGUCCUAUUUGGUUUCAGUCCUAUUUCACCGCCAAUCAAUAAGAAAAAUGACUUCCAAAAUUGUGAAACUUUCAAAAACCACCAAGGCAGCAUCUGUGUCAGCAACCUCUGAUCAUACAGAGUUUCUCAAAUCAGAAAUUUCUAAGCCAAGAAUAACAAGUACACUGCCAAAGCCAAUUUUUAACAGUGAAGGCUGCCUGGUUUGCAGCAAAUUUGGUUUUGGAGAACUAAUUACUCCUUUACCCAUUCUGAAAAAGACCUCUUUCGAUCCAAAAGCAGCAAUGAUUAAAAUAAAACAAACGUCAAAGAAAAAGUGAAAAUCUUGGAAGGCAAAGGUGAAGUUGAGAAGGCAAGAAGCAUUGAAGGGAAACAGGCAUGGGAAGGUUCUCUGCAAAGAGCUGAAGGUGUUAGGGUAAAUGACGAUGUGAAUUGCUUGCUAAAAAAUUUUAAAAACGCGAUAAAACCAAAUCACAAAGUAAAAAUAAGUGGACCAAUGCAUUGAAGAACAGAAAAGGAGAAAAGCUAACAUUAAGAAACAUGAAAAGAAAGAACCCAAACUAAUGAAAUAAGGCCAAUUUAUCGUAUUAAUGAGCGAUACUGACUCUUGGAUGAGUUAACUCGUGUUCUAUUAUGUCCAAAACGUGUUAUAGUUUUGUAUUAAAAUACACUGGCAUGCUUUCCAUGU
Long non-coding RNA from Daphnia carinata, 2118 nucleotides. RefSeq lists it as uncharacterized. NCBI's taxonomy places the organism in Eukaryota, Metazoa, Arthropoda, Branchiopoda, Diplostraca, Daphniidae. The transcript is spliced from 5 exons. The record is from RefSeq and is a predicted model, not a curated record.